This 64-nucleotide transfer RNA is filed under the name Aegosoma sinicum. RNAcentral describes it as "tRNA-Pro". Lineage: Eukaryota; Metazoa; Arthropoda; Insecta; Coleoptera; Cerambycidae. The record is from RNAcentral.
CAAGGAAUAGUUUAAUUAAAAUUUUAGUUUUGGAGAUUAAAGAUGAGGACUUCCUUUUCCUUGA